Canis lupus familiaris (dog) is the source of this 2724-nucleotide RNA transcript. It is a transcript of the gene named ral guanine nucleotide dissociation stimulator-like, with no coding region annotated. The transcript has 9 exons. The record is from RefSeq and is a predicted model, not a curated record. NCBI's taxonomy places the organism in Eukaryota, Metazoa, Chordata, Mammalia, Carnivora, Canidae.
GACCACUUGGAUCACUAAUGAGAUGAAGGAAGAAGAGCCCAUUGGUGGAAAAAAAGUCAGAGGAUGAAGGAAUUGAAAAGGAAAACUUAGCAAUACUAGAGAAAGUUUGGAAGACUCAAAGGCAAGACCAUUUCAGUAGCUGCAUCCAGGAGAUCUUGGAGGAGAUGGUCUGUGGCUUCAACUAUUCCAACUCCCUAGACAAUUAUCAGGUGCACCAGAGAAACAAGGAUCAGUGCUGCUCUGAGUGUUUCCACAGGAGUGUCGCACCAGCCCAACCGCAGAGACCUCUGAACCUCCACGCCUAUCCUCCAGCUACGUAUGAUGUGGGAAGACACUCUUCACCUGUAUUGGAUAAGUGCAGAAUAUAUUUCAUGUUUUUUAGGAGUUGGUGGGGGGGGGGUCACAAAGCCAUGAGUAUCUUUGCGUUUUACUUCUGUUUUUAUUAUUUCACGUACUCCUCCCAGCUAUCCUGUGUAGAAGCCAGCUCCACUGUCCCUGCAGACCUUCUCCGAGCCUUUCCAAAUCAUCACACUAAGAGGGUGAUUUAACACAAAAGGGUGUGAUGAAGCCAUUUUAUAUGUUUUCAUAUAGAAUGUUUAUAUAGUUUCUCUCAAUAGAUUCUAUAUGUUUCUCUAUAACAUGUCGUCUCUCAGAACACAUCAAAUCAUUGUAGGCCCAACAGGACAUGAGCUGUAUCCCUAUAGAUCUUAUAGGUCCAUAAAUGAGGCGGUCUGCCACACGGAUUCAGAUUUUCGAGACCCUUGGCACGUGACCUGAUGCCAUUCUCUUGCCAUUUCUGCAGUGCUGCAAGGAACACCGUAUGUGUCCCCACAGACUGUUUUGGUUGCUAGAUCUGCCAUAACCUGGAACCCCAGAUUAGGGGGAAGGCCUCUGAUGCCUCCUGGCACCAGUAGCUGGCUCUUUUUGUAAUGACCCACCCAGGAGAUCUUGGAUGAGUUGCUCCAAGAGUUGAACUCCUCCAACUCCUCUGACAAGCACAGGGGCAUCAGGCCACCAACUACUUCCAUUGAAGGUCUGCGGUAAGAACAGGUCCACAUUCAUGGUCAAACUCAAGACACAGAGAUGAUCAGGGCAAGACCAGAACACAGACUAGAAACAACUGAUGCCCUUGGGCCUUGCAGGAGAAGGUAGUUUUCCCCUGACCCUUCCUCCCUAUGUCAGGAACAGACCAAGCCACAUCAGCUUAAGGGAAACCCCAUGCAGCUCACGCUCUGGUCUCUUCUCAGCUGCAAUGUAUGUGAUCUUAAGCAGCAUGUGAGGGUCUAGCCCUCUGUGUUCUGUGUGAGGCCAAAACUGAAGACUUAAUGGCAUACUGGUCUUCAUAAAACUAUUAGUUGAGAGGAAUGCUGUUGUUGCUCAGCUAACAGAAUGUGUUGAAGUUUGCCAUGUCUUCCCUAAAACCAAUGAUACUUUGAAGCCUCAAACCUUUUUCUGUGUGGGCACUCAAGUCCCUUGUCCUGUAGAACUUCCCAAGGGGAUGGGAGUCUCUGGUCUGAGAGCCAGACCCUGAUCUUCACAGUGGUUCUUGGUUUGGAAGCUGACUACAGUGCUCCUCCUUGUGUCUCUGGUGUGAAAAGGAAUCAACCUUAUUCCUGGGUGAGGCCAGGACCAUGCUGAUGCUCAAAGAAGGGAGAAUGGAUAAUUUUGUACAGUCCUUGGUACCAUCCUUCCAGGAUAGAAGCCUCGCAAACAACCCAGUCAUUUCCUGUAUCUACCAGGUGUUCACCACAGCCCAACAGGUCCUGGGCCAGCAAUUCCCCAAGAUCUGUUCAAGAAGCUGCUGCCCCAACAGUGCCUGGGUGCCAUUUGGUCCAAGCGAAAUGAACCUGGAAAUGAGCACCUGCCAUGCACAGUCCAUGCCACCAUCACCCAGUUCAACGAUGUGUCCAACUGCGUCAUCACCACCUUCCUUGGCAACGCACGCAUGAUGGCCCGGGACAGGCCAUGGUGGUGGAGCACUGGAUCAAGGUGGCCAAGGCCUGUCAAAUCUUGCGGAACUACUCUUCCAUGAAUGCCAUCAUCUCUGCUCUUCAGAGUGCCUCAAUUCACCGCCUGAAGAUCACAUGGACCAAAGUUUCCAGCCCUGCAGGAACGUCCAUCUAAACUUGGAACCCUGGGGGUAAAUGUUCAGAGAGCAUGGAAGAGGGAGUGGCAGAAGAAGCUGAGCAUGGCCCAGAUACAUGGCCUCGAAUCCAGAGGAGACGGGGGUCUUCUCUGAAAGCUGGAAGCCCCCAAAUCAAGACAGGGCAAUGAGUUCAACCACCGGAAGAAGAAUAAGGAAUGCAGAUUCAUGACCGAGAUCAUGCUGCUCCAGGUGGCUGCAGAUCAUUACAACGUAGAGCCCAAGCAUCCAUUUAGGGCCUGGUUCCAGUCUGGGAAGUGGCUCAGUGAAGAGGAGAGCUACAUCUUGUCCUGCUAGCUGGCGCCCCAAACCUAGCUCACAAACAGAAAGAACUGGCCACAGUCAACCUCAGCCUGAGCUGGUGUCCAGGGGCAACAGCGGGCAUGGGACCCGUCUGCUCAACAACACUUCCUUCCGUCUCUUCACUUAUUUGGAGGACCAAUAUUUCAUCAUCUUAAAGAGUAAAUGGUAGAUUUCAAUAUUAUAAUAUUAAAGCCUUUUUAGAGUCCAGGAGUAGUUUCGUUCUUUUACUUCCUAUAGUAAUCUAAAAGACUUGAAGAGUCUCAUAUUCAUUUUCUUUU